CCUACGGGAGGCAGCAGUGAGGAAUAUUGGUCAAUGGGCGCAAGCCUGACCCAGCAAAGCCGCGUGAAGGAUGAAUGCCCUAUGGGUGGUAAACUUCUUUUAUAUGGGAAUAAAGUGCAGCAUGUAUACUGCUUUGCAUGUACCUUAUGAAUAAGCAUCGGCUAACUCCGUGCCAGCAGCCGCGGUAAUACGGAGGAUCCGGGCGUUAUACGGAUUUAUUGGGGUUAAAGGGAGCGUAGGCGGGUUGGUAAGUCAGUUGUGAAAGUUUGCGGCUCAACCGUAGAAUUGCAGUUGAUACUGGCUUCCUUGAGUACAGGAGAGGUAGGCGGAAUGCGUGGUGUAGCGGUGAAAUGCGUAGAUAGCACGAAGAACACCGAUGGCGAAGGCAGCCUGCUGGACGGUAACUGACGCUGAUGCGCGAAAGUGUGGGUAUCAAACAGGAUUAGAUACCCUAGUAGUC
RNAcentral lists this ribosomal RNA (460 nucleotides) under uncultured bacterium. RNAcentral's name for it is "partial 16S ribosomal RNA". It matches the Rfam family "Bacterial small subunit ribosomal RNA", at positions 338 to 795 of the family's 1533-position model. The record is from RNAcentral.